AGCGAACGCUGGCGGCAGGCUUAACACAUGCAAGUCGAGCGGGCCUUUCGGGGUCAGCGGCGGACGGGUGAGUAACGCGUGGGAACGUGCCCUCUGGUUCGGAAUAACUCAGGGAAACUUGAGCUAAUACCGGAUACGCCCUUUUGGGGAAAGGCUUGCUGCCGGAGGAUCGGCCCGCGUCUGAUUAGCUUGUUGGUGAGGUAACGGCUCACCAAGGCGACGAUCAGUAGCUGGUCUGAGAGGAUGAUCAGCCACACUGGGACUGAGACACGGCCCAGACUCCUACGGGAGGCAGCAGUGGGGAAUAUUGGACAAUGGGCGCAAGGCUGAUCCAGCCAUGCCGCGUGAGUGAUGAAGGCCUUAGGGUUGUAAAGCUCUUUUAUCCGGGACGAUAAUGACGGUACCGGAGGAAUAAGCCCCGGCUAACUUCGUG
This 433-nucleotide ribosomal RNA is filed under the name uncultured bacterium. RNAcentral's name for it is "partial 16S ribosomal RNA". It matches the Rfam family "Bacterial small subunit ribosomal RNA", at positions 29 to 507 of the family's 1533-position model. The record is from RNAcentral.